Molecule: non-coding RNA, 1590 nt
Organism: Tritrichomonas musculus
Lineage: Eukaryota; Parabasalia; Tritrichomonadida; Tritrichomonadidae
Source: the annotation of a GenBank genome assembly
ACUUGGUUGAUCCUGCCAAGGAAGCACACUUCGGUCAUAGAUUAAGCCAUGCAAGUGUUAGUUCAGGCAACGAAACUGCGAACAGCUCAUUAAUACGCUCAGAAUCUACUUGGUGGCAACCUUUCAGGUUUUAUUUGGAUAGCAGCAGUAAUUCUGGUGCUAAUACAUGCGAUUGUUUCACACCAAUCGAUUGAGCGACCUAUCAUGCUUGUACUUAGGGUCUUUACCUAGGUAGGCUAUCACGGGUAACGGGCGGUUACCGUCGGACUGCCGGAGAAGGGGCCUGAGAGAUAGCCACUAUAUCCACGGGUAGCAGCAGGCGCGAAACUUACCCACUCGAGACUUUCGGAGGUGGUAAUGACCAGUUCCAUGUCAUCCCUCACGGGUUGUUUGGAUAGGAUCACACUUUUCCAGUGUGGUGCAAUCUAGCAGAGGGCCAAUCUGGUGCCAGCAGCUGCGGUAAUUCCAGCUCUGCGAGUUUGCUCCCAUAUUGUUGCAGUUAAAACGCUCGUAGUAAGAAUUGCCCGCAAGGGCUUGCGAACUUCUGUUCGUUCACUGUGAACAAAUCAGGACGCUUAGCGUAUGGUUAUCAGGAAUGACUCAGCGCAGUAUGAUAUCUUUACUUCUAGUAAAAUCAAUGAGAGCCACCGGGGGUAGAUCUAUUUCAUGGCGAACGGUGGAAUGUUCUGACCCAUGAGAGAGAAACGAAGGCGAAAGCAUCUACAUAGAGGGUUUCUGUCGAUCAAGGGAGAGAGUAGGAGUAUCCAACCGGAUCAGAGACCCGGGUAGUUCCUACCUUAAACGAUGCCGACAGGGGCUUGUCCUUUAAUGAGGGCAGGACCUUAGGAGAAAUCAUAGUUCUUGGGCUCUGGGGGAACUACGACCGCAAGGCUGAAACUUGAAGGAAUUGACGGAAGGGCACACCAGGGGUGGAGCUUGUGGCUUAAUUUGAAUCAACACGGGGAAACUUACCAGGACCAGAUGUUUUUUAUGACUGACAGGCUUCAGGUCUUUCAGGAUAUGAUUUUUGGUGGUGCAUGACCGUUGGUGGUGCGUGGGUUGGCCUGUCAAAAUUUCUGACUUUUUUUUAUCAUAAUCAGGAAAAUAAAAUAAAUUUAUUGGAAAAAUUAUUCAAGUAGCUAAUUAAUUGGUUUGUUUAUUUAAAUUGAAAGAAAUUUUUUUAUAUUAAAAAUAUCUUUUUCAAUACCAUCGAUAAUUCUGAAGUUUGCUCUUUCUAUCUGCUCAAGAAUUUCAGCAAAUGAUGGCCUUUCUUCAGGAUUAGUUGACCAGCAUCUCAUUAUCAAAUUUCGUGAGAAUUCAUCGAUACAGUCUGGAAUUGGAGCCUUUUUCCCCGAAGCAACUUUGGCUAUGCUAAUUUGUGGAUAUUUUUCAUUACUAAGGACGAAGAACAAGAGGACACCAAAUGAAUAAAUGCCGACUUUUUCAUUGUAAUCAGAAGAUUCAUUCAAAAUUUCAGGUGCCAUAAAUUUCAAUGAGCCAACGCCAACUGUUUUUGAUGAACUGUCAUCAGGGCUUGCAAUUCCAAAGUCGAUCAAUUUCACGUGCAUUGAACUGUCAUACAGAACGUUA